GACGAACGCUGGCGGCGUGCCUAAUACAUGCAAGUCGAGCGGAGUUAGAGAAGCUUGCUUCUCUAACUUAGCGGCGGACCGGGUGAGGUAACACGUGGGCAAUCUGCCCGUAAGACUGGGAUAACUCCGGAAACCGGGGCUAAUACCGGAUAAUCCUGACUCUCUCCUGAGAGUCAGUUGUAAAGAUGGUUUCGGCUAUCACUUACGGAUGAGCCCGCGGCGCAUUAGCUAGUUGGUAGGGUGAUGGCCUACCAAGGCGACGAUGCGUAGCCGACCUGAGAGGGUGAUCGGCCACACUGGGACUGAGACACGGCCCAGACUCCUACGGGAGGCAGCAGUAGGGAAUCUUCCGCAAUGGACGAAAGUCUGACGGAGCAACGCCGCGUGAGUGAAGAAGGUUUUCGGAUCGUAAAACUCUGUUGUUAGGGAAGAACACGUACGAGAGUAACUGCUCGUACCUUGACGGUACCUAACCAGAAAGCCACGGCUAACUACGUG
Molecule: ribosomal RNA, 498 nt
Filed under: uncultured bacterium
Lineage: Bacteria
Description: bacterial SSU rRNA
Rfam family: Bacterial small subunit ribosomal RNA
Source: RNAcentral